GAUCCUGGCUCAGGAUGAACGCUAGCGGCAGGCUUAACACAUGCAAGUCGAGGGGUAUUAGUUUUCGGACUAAGAGACCGGCGCACGGGUGCGUAACGCGUAUGCAAUCUACCUUUUACAGAGGGAUAGCCCAGAGAAAUUUGGAUUAAUACCUCAUAGUAUAAUGACUCGGCAUCGAGAUAUUAUUAAAGUCACAACGGUAAAAGAUGAGCAUGCGUCCCAUUAGCUAGUUGGUAAGGUAACGGCUUACCAAGGCUACGAUGGGUAGGGGUCCUGAGAGGGAGAUCCCCCACACUGGUACUGAGACACGGACCAGACUCCUACGGGAGGCAGCAGUGAGGAAUAUUGGACAAUGGGCGCAAGCCUGAUCCAGCCAUGCCGCGUGCAGGAUGACGGUCCUAUGGAUUGUAAACUGCUUUUAUACGAGAAGAAACACUGCUUCGUGAAGCAGCUGACGGUAU
This 461-nucleotide ribosomal RNA is filed under the name Flavobacterium sp. 01WB04.1-52. RNAcentral's name for it is "bacterial SSU rRNA". It matches the Rfam family "Bacterial small subunit ribosomal RNA", at positions 15 to 478 of the family's 1533-position model. Lineage: Bacteria; Pseudomonadati; Bacteroidota; Flavobacteriia; Flavobacteriales; Flavobacteriaceae. The record is from RNAcentral.